This 400-nucleotide RNase P RNA is filed under the name Lacimicrobium alkaliphilum. RNAcentral's name for it is "Bacterial RNase P class A". It matches the Rfam family "Bacterial RNase P class A". From Rfam's summary of the family: Ribonuclease P (RNase P) is a ubiquitous endoribonuclease, found in archaea, bacteria and eukarya as well as chloroplasts and mitochondria. Its best characterised activity is the generation of mature 5'-ends of tRNAs by cleaving the 5'-leader elements of precursor-tRNAs. Cellular RNase Ps are ribonucleoproteins. Lineage: Bacteria; Pseudomonadati; Pseudomonadota; Gammaproteobacteria; Alteromonadales; Alteromonadaceae. The record is from Rfam by way of RNAcentral.
GGAGCUGGCCAGACAAUCGCCGCCCGACCACCUAAUUGCACGGUAUAAGCCAUGAAUAUUGGCUUUCAUGCAAUUAGGUGGUCGGGGGGAGGAAAGUCCGGGCUCCAUAGGGCAGGGUGCCAGGUAACGCCUGGGCGGCGCAAGCCGACGACAAGUGCAGCAGAGAGCAGACCGCCAACCCCGGCUCGCCGGGCGGUAAGGGUGAAAGGGUGCGGUAAGAGCGCACCGCGCAACUGGUAACAGUUUGUGGCAUGGUAAACUCCACCCGGAGCAAGACCAAAUAGGGUUCCUUGGCGCGGCCCGCGUCGGAACCGGGUAGGUUGCUUGAGUCAGUGAGCGAUUACUGACCUAGAUGAAUGAUUGUCUUAGACAGAACCCGGCUUAUCGGCCAGCUCCCCUU